GAAAUGCGAUACGUAAUGUGAAUUGCAGAAUCCCGUGAAUCAUCAAAUUUUCGAACGCAUAUUGCGCUCUUGGGCAUUCCUAAGAGCAUGCCUGUUUGAGUGUCAGUAUCAACCCUCAAACCCAGUUUUGGGUUUGGAUAUGGACCUUUUUUCUCAGGGGUAAACCUUGAGUGGUCUUAAAUCUAUAGGAGAAUUUAGCAGACUCCCGCUUAAAGGCGUGAUAAUGGUGUAGUUUACAUCUUUUCUUAGCCGAUUUUUGUGGAUAUGCUCUAUGCUCCGUAAUGGCCAAUUCUGGCAACAUCAAGGGUUUCGGCCUUUGAAACUUGACCUCAAAUCAAGCAAGACUACCCGCUGAACUUAA
Molecule: unclassified non-coding RNA, 361 nt
Filed under: uncultured Mortierella
Lineage: Eukaryota; Fungi; Mortierellomycota; Mortierellomycetes; Mortierellales; Mortierellaceae
Description: sequence contains ITS1
Rfam family: 5.8S ribosomal RNA (bases 1-105)
Source: RNAcentral